UGCUUUGCGUCCCUACACUUCCUCAAC
Molecule: non-coding RNA, 27 nt
Filed under: Mus musculus (house mouse)
Lineage: Eukaryota; Metazoa; Chordata; Mammalia; Rodentia; Muridae
Source: RNAcentral